Molecule: long non-coding RNA, 4467 nt
Filed under: Amborella trichopoda
Lineage: Eukaryota; Viridiplantae; Streptophyta; Magnoliopsida; Amborellales; Amborellaceae
Description: long non-coding RNA (ATRI_LNC004431)
Source: RNAcentral
UUAUGUGUGUAAUUUAACUUCCCUUUAGUGUUAUCAGGACAAAUGUUAGAAAAUAAUCAAAAGAAUGCUAUUCCACCUAACAGUAACUACCAAUGCUUUUAGAAGUUACCAAUGCAAUUGGCUCAAUUUUGUGAGGUCGUAUGCCUCAAAAUUAAAUAGAUUCAAGCCCAAAUAAUUAUAAAGAAAAUGAAUCCGCAUGAGAUACAUAAAAAGGUCAAAGUGCAGGGCUCAUCAGUGUUCCUAAAUGAUAACAACCAUCGACUGAGUGCACUUCAAUUAGUGACAGAAAGAAAGAACAAUAACAAGCUAUUAUGAUUCAUUUCAAGCUAGGAUCCAAGACACACUUCCAAGGUGUUUGUAUAUUAUAAAAUUAUACUUGAUUGGGACUUGGCCAAAAGCCAUAAAGAAAUCAAAUUUCAGCACCUGCUAACAAAUGCAAUGUUUAUAGCUCCUACCACUAGAAUUCUCUCUAUCAUGUUUAUCCACUGCUUUAAAAAAAAAAGAAAAGAAAAAAGAAACAUGUGCUAUGUUUGAACUCCCAGCCUUUACAUUUCAAAACUGCUAACAAAUGCAAUGUUUAUAGCUCCUACCACUAGAAUUCUCUCUAUCAUGUUUAUCCACUGCUUUUAAAAAAAAAGAAAAGAAAAAAGAAACAUGUGCUAUGUUUGAACUCCCAGCCUUUACAUUUCAAAACUGAGAGCCUUCUAGUUUGACCUAUAGGCUUUAUGCUUUUUAUUUACAAGUAACUACUACAGAAUAUUCAGAUAAAAAAUCAGUGACAUGAUUUCAUAGUCUCCGGGAUCUCCCAACUUGGUCGUGAUCCCACGCUCCUGAAGCUGGACCUUGGGUGGAUCUCACUCCCGUAUGGAGGCACAUGGUCUCCAUUCCUUAGGGAUUGGUCGAUAUAAAUCACACUCAUGUUAGAUUGAUUUUUUAUAAGGAAACAAGUCUUACGUGCAUCCAUUAAAAAAAGAAAGUAAUUUAUGUAGCAAAAUCAUGUUAUGUAUAUUUUUUAAAGAAAAAAGAGUUGCUUUAACAAGAUGGGUCUAGGACUUAAGGAUUUAUCGUGCAAUUCCAAAAAGUUGAGAUCCAGCUUCCCAUCAUUUUAGGAUCGGGAUCCCUCAAAUUUAGGGUGCACCAACAAUGAUCCCGACCAUCAGGAGCUUCGAACCUAUCACAAUCCCAAUCUCUCGAUUCUGCUCCCUCUCCCGAUCCCAACAACUAUGCAUGAUUCUCUAAAGCUCAUAGGAACUUGCAGAAGAAUGGACAAAUUAUAUCAUGGGAUUAGUUGAUCUUGUGGCUUGUUGAAUUCUUAUCUUCUUCUCUUACUUUCAUAUAGUAUCACUUAUAUAUCUAUCGAACAAACACAUGUUAAAAAUAUGGAAAUGUGUACAAUGAGACCAUUUACUUUUAGUACAAGGAGGUCACAACUACUAUUGAUUGUUAGAUGCAACAUCAGGUGGUUGGGAAUGUGACAUUGGCUAGGCACAAUGUCCAGAACAAAAUUUCUCGAAUGUUGGGACACAUUUCAAUCCAUUAAAUAUCAUAUCCAAUGGCUAAUAAUGAUUUUGACCUUCUUGUACUUAAAGUAAAUGGUCUCAUAGUAUACAAUCCCCAAAAAUAUUAUUAGUUAUUCCAACAACAAAUAAAUCACCAAAAGAAACCACUCGUGAGAAGUUGAUUCGAAGGAUCGCUUGUCACGUUCAUGAGUUGGCAGAUGCUAAGGCAUGGACUUACCACAUGUCAGAAAAGGCAAUUACUGAAAACUUGCGACUUACGUGGUGGCAUCAAAGGAUCAAGUUACCCAUAACAGUGGCAUUGGCUUUUCCACAUUCACACAUUGUAAGCUAAAGGUUGAUGGGUCUUCUAUUUAGAACCCAAGUCGAGCUGCUUGUGGGGGCGUCUUAAGACGGGAUGAUGGAUCCUUCGUUGCUGCUUUUUUAGUUCCGCUUGGGAUUGCUUCCAAUAAUUAUGCAGAAUUUCGAGGUGUACAAAAGGGUGUCGAUUUAGCUAUGCAAUUGGCCUACAUUCCCCUAUAAAUUGAGAGAUUCUACCAUACUUGUCCAAGUCAUACAGGGCAAGUGUAAAGCUCCAUGGGCUCUUCAUACCAUAUAUGCUAACUGCAAGUUUAGACUUGAGAAUCAUUCAUGGUCUAUUUGUCAUGUUUAUCGUGAGGCUAAUAUGGUGGCCGAUGUUCUUGCCAAAAAAGCUACAGUUUUGCGGAGGCCACCGCUCCAGGCCUCCAGAUUUUCUUAACCUUCCUUUACUUCAUGAUGUGGUGUAAUUACCCAAUUGUAGGGUUGUAAAAUAGUAUGAUGUAAUUAUUUUCCUAUUUUGUAUUAAUGAAAAUUAGGUAGAGGGCCUUCUCCCUCACUAAUUUGCCCAAAAAACAAAAAAAACUUCACCCUCAAAACCAGUAAAUCCCAAACUCCCCUUGCUGCCUCAGUGACAAUUCAGGUUAGCUACCUACACCCUAGAAUGGUUGGGUGUAACCCUUGAAGUUUGUCCCCCAAAAAACCAAGCUGACUAACACUUUCUGGAAAUUGAGCACUAGCGUGAUGAUUAUGGUGUUGACAUUGCAGCAUGAUAUCCCGGAUUCGAACCACAUCGCUAAUCUAACACCCGCCGCACCAAAAGAGAAAAAAUGCAAGAGAUGCAAUGAAGGGACAUUGUUGGAGCGAUUGAGUUAUUGAACUUCAAUAAGUUCUGAAAUCUACGCAACAGAUAAGAAACAAGGCUACCAAAAUUUGGUAUACACGAGAAAAUGUAACAAUAGUCGAAGUACGGUAUAGUAACAAGAAGGAUGAUUACUUUUUAAGAUGAAGAGUUUGAAGCAGCAGCCAAUACUUUAAUUAAGGGAUUACUUCGAGUUGAAACUCACACCAUGGAAUAUUGGAUGUCUUGGCCUAGUCUCACAGAGUACAGUAUGACAGUCACUAAGGAGAAACGCUAUCAAUUUCAAUAUGGGAUCCUUCAUUUUUAUUUUACUUUUUGCCAAUAAUAUUCAGUUGUCUCACUAAGAACAAAUGUUUUUGUGAUGCAGAUCUCUAAAAUGUGAAUCUUUUAAAUUAGUUUGGGUGAAUAAAAUGGACUAAAUAAGAAUUAGUGCAUGCCAAACCAAUAGCAUGAGGACAAAAUAAACUUUGCAACAGAAAAAGGAAAUUGACAUUGAACUGAAUAGAUUAACAGAGUGCAUGAUCCAUUUCUCAAAAAAAAAAAACAGAGUGCACGAUCCAUUAAAAAUGGUGUAGGCAUUAGUUCCAAUACACAAACCAAUAACUAGAUGUUAAUACAGAAAACCAUGGCUAUAACAAGAAGCAAGCAAAUGGGAGCUCAUCAUUCUGCAACUGAAAAUCAAUAUAUACCUGGUUGCCGGAAUAAUUUACAAUUCACUAAAGCAAGCAUCAAGAGGCAAAAAGUAAUCCAAUAGAUACAAAUUGAUUAAGAGAAACCUUUUUGGUUGUCCCCUUUGUCUACAAAUGUGACGACUUUUCGGUCCGUGGUCAGUUCCUCUUAGUUGUUAACUUGUUUGGUUCUCUUUCUAGAUAGUAAACCAAUGUAUCGAAGGAAUCAAACUCAUCAGAGCCAAAACAUGAUACCUGAAAAGAAAAAAGUACAAAACAACAAAAAAAUUCAAAACUUCACAGUCCAAUGCAGAAUGUCUAUCGAAUCACAGACUAGACACUUCUCGAGAUUUAUACUACGGUCGUUAUGAGAGAGAUCAAAACAGGAGAAAGAUGAAUAGCUCAACAAUUAAAAUACUAAAAACAGGACUAACGACCUAAUUAGAGACCCAACGUUCUCUUGGAUUUCAAUUGAAAUUUCAGCCCAAAUUAAGUAUAUAAUGAAAGAUUUUGUUAAAACAAGAAGGUCAUAACUGGGCUCAAUGUUUACGAAGAUUACGGGAUUGAAUUUCAUGAUAUCUGGCUGAUAAACCCUUUAUCUGAAUACCAAAUGCAGCCUAAAAUUCAGCUGGUUGUUAGCAAUUACAAGCAAUCAAAGAGAUCAAUGAGCCAGACUCAGCUAUAAUUAGUGAAUUCUGGCCAUAAAACAGAUGGUUCACCAGAAGGUGGUUGGUUUUGGACGUCAAUUAAAUGAUGAAAUUCACGUCAGAGGCGAAUAAUCUCGCACAUGGAAAGAGCUUUACCAGUUUCUGGAUCCCAAAAUGGGGUUCCUCGGAGAAAUAGAGAGAGUAAUAGGCUUGUGAGUUCAAAGAGAGUAAAAGGGGAUAUGGGUUUCUUUGUUAAUACAGGAGGGAUAUCUAUUGGGUGAGAAUUUACAGAGAGAGAGAGAGAGAGAGCAAAAGGGGAGAUGGGUUUCCUUGGUUAUAGAGGAGGGAUACGUAUUUUGGUGAGCGAUUUUAGAAAGAGAGAACAAAUGGGGAGAUGGGUUUCUUUGGUAAUAGAGAGGGAUACUUAUUUGGUGAGAGAUUCUCUCUCUCUCUCUCUCUCUCUCUCUCUCUCUCUN